This is a long non-coding RNA of Gallus gallus (chicken), 2680 nucleotides long. RefSeq lists it as uncharacterized. The transcript has 2 exons. The record is from RefSeq and is a predicted model, not a curated record. NCBI's taxonomy places the organism in Eukaryota, Metazoa, Chordata, Aves, Galliformes, Phasianidae.
GGGGCCCACCUGCUCCCCGCACACGCACGCGGGCGGUGGGGCCCCUCCGCCGCUGCCGCAAACUACGGCUUGAGGGCGGGGACGGCCGCCGCCGCGCUAUUUCGGGAGCCGCCCGCGAACGGUCGGUGGUCUGGGUGGGAAACGGCGGGCAGCUCCCGUUUUGCUGCUAGGUGCGGGCCGUGCUGCUCGCCUAGCGAGAGCGGCCGGUAUCAUUGAGAUACGCGCUCACGCGGAGAGUCGUCCAUUUGCCCGGAGGGGCGAAACCGUAGGAAUUCCUUCGGCUCAUGUGAGCUAUUGGUUCCGCAGCUCCAGCCAGCCGGCGACCGCCCAGCUGUUAGAACAGCUUUGCCUUUUAUCCGCCUGCUCUCUGCUCCCCCCGCCCCACGCGGGGCUUAUAUUAUUAAUAGCCCACUGCUGCCUGCAUCCACAGCAGCGAGCCUCACCGCUUGCACAAGAAUCCACUCUAUCCGAGCACAUCCUGUCCAGAAUUUGCUUCGGGAUCGGGGACGGUAGCAGAGAGCAACUGAGAAGCACCAACUACCAUGAUUUGAGAGACGACCUGAAGAUCAGAGGAGAUGGAACACCAUGAAAGUGCACAUUAUGUCAAGAUUUAGUUCAGAUUGGAAUGUUCAGAACAGGGUGUUGAACUUCGCUUGAAAUUUACUUCAAUCUUCCAGUGAAUUGUUUGAGCAGGGCUAGAAACUUCUUGCCUUGAACGUAUGGGGUGAGAGAAGAAAGGCGAGGAGUGUUAAGGAUUAUUUAUUUAGUGGAGGGAGAGAACUGUUUCAUGACAGCAAGAAUGGCAUAUUGGGAAAACCCUAUUAGAUGCAACCAUUAUUGAUCUCAGCAAAAUUUCACACUGCCAUGAUCAGCUUAUUCUCUGUGGUAUUUAUUAUCCAUCAGUGCCACUAGGUAGGUACAUUUCAAAACAUUCUGGAACAGCAGAGACAGAGGGUAAAAUUCUUAGGUCAUUGUAUAUGCUGACAUAGCCUUAUUAAUCAUGCUGGACUGUGCCAACCUUAAGCAAGGGGACCUUUUUCCCCCACUGUGUUUGUAGGGUGUCUGAACACUUUAAGGUUAACCAAACGUUUAAUAAGGCAUUAUCGAAAUGCCUCUUGAACACUGGCAAGUAUGAGGCAACAAUUACCUUUCUCUGAAGCCUGUUGCAAUGUUUGACCAUCCUCACAGUAAUGAAAUUUUUCUUCAUUCCAGCCUGAACACCGUUUUUACAUUGAGUAGCUCAGAACUGCACCCAGUAUUCCACACCAACGCUAAAUAUAGUGGGAGAAUCACCUUCUCUGACCAGCUGGCUACACCAUGUUUAAUGCAUCCCAAACUACUGUUUGCCCUCUUGGCAGCCAGGGCUCACUGCUGGCUCAUGCUGAGCCUGCUCUUGACCAGCACCCCCAGAUCCCUUUCUGCUGAGCUGCUCUCCCACCGCUUGUCUCCCAGUCUGUGCCUGUGUCCAGCAUUACUCCAUCCCAACUGCAGCACCUGCCCUUGUUGAAUUUCAUGCCAUAUCUGAUCACUCUAUCCAUCUGUAUCCCUCUGCAAAGUCUCUCAGCCCAUCCCUCAGAAAGUCAACAGCACCUUUCAGUUUAGUAUUUGUCAGCAAAUUUGCUUAGGACACAUUCCACUUCUGCAUCCAGAUCACUGACAAAAAAAAAAAUACUGAAUCAAACUGGCCCUAGAACUGAGCACUGAGGAAAUGUUGCUAGUGAGACUGGCCACCAGCCAGAGGUAGCCCCAUUCAUGAUGUGACACUGAGCUCUGCCACUGAGCCAGUUCAUCAGUCAGCAUAGUGUGGAUGUGCUCAACUCACAGUUAAGCAAUUAAUCCAGAAAGAAACCGUGAGGGGCAAGUAUCAAAGGCAUUACUAAAAUCCAGAAAAAUUUAAUCCAACUCCUUAAUCAGCUAAGCAGGUGACCUAUCAUAGAAGAUCAAAUUACUAAGGCAGUAUUUGCCAUUUGUUAAACCACGUUGACUAUUCCUGAUAAUAGCUUUGUUCUUUUAAUGUCUUUCACUGGAACCCAAGAUAAUUUUCUCCUUAACUUCUCCAAGUACUGAGGUUUAAAGAUCUGCAUUUCCCUAGGUUUUCUCUCAUGCUCAUUUGGAGGCUGGUAUAACUCUGGCUAGUUUCCAGUCAGCUAGGACCUUCCUAGACUUUCACAACUUUUUGGGAGGGGUCCACGUAACGCCCACUAACUGUAAUACUGUGGAGUGAAUACCAGCAGGCCCCAUGGACUUACGAACGUGAAAUUAAUUCCUUACAAUUUCAGAGUCCACAAAAGCAUUGCCACUGCUCCCCCCAGUCACAGGCAGCCCAAGAUAUAUCAUUAAUACUAAAAAUGGAGGUAAAAAUGUCACUAAAAGCCUCUGCCUCUUCCUCAUCCAUACUUGUUAGGCAGCCAUUUUCAUCAGCUAUCAGUCCAGCGGUGUGCUUAAACCCUCUCUUGCUGUUGGCAUACUUGAAAAAGCCUUUUUUGUUGUUGCCUGUAUCAACUCAUGUUGAGCUUUGGCUUUUCUUGUUUUCUCCCUGCAGAUGCAAAUGGCAGCUCUGUAAUCUCCCUGUGAAUCCUAGCAUUGUUUCCAGAGAUCAUAUAUUUUGUUCUGCAGAAGAAAGUUCUGGCACCUAAAAAUCUUACCUGAAAUUGUAGAAUUGGCAAAUAAAUUGUGAAAA